UACGGGGGGGGUAAGCGUUGUUCGGAAUUACUGGGCGUAAAGGGCUCGUAGGCGGCCAACUAAGUCAUACGUGAAAUCCCUCAGCUUAACUGGGGAACUGCGUGUGAUACUGGAUGGCUUGGAUUUGGGAGAGGGAUGCGGAAUUCCAGGUGUAGCGGUGAAAUGCGUAGAUAUUCGGAGGAACACCAGUGGCGAAGGCGGCUCACUGGUCCGGUACUGACGCUGAGGUGCGAAAGCGUGGGGAGCAAACAGG
RNAcentral lists this ribosomal RNA (253 nucleotides) under uncultured bacterium. RNAcentral describes it as "partial 16S ribosomal RNA". It matches the Rfam family "Bacterial small subunit ribosomal RNA", at positions 524 to 776 of the family's 1533-position model. The record is from RNAcentral.